This 1025-nucleotide long non-coding RNA is filed under the name Marmota monax (woodchuck). Lineage: Eukaryota; Metazoa; Chordata; Mammalia; Rodentia; Sciuridae. The record is from RNAcentral.
CUUGCCUGCCCCUCGUCCUGGGGAAGAGAGAGGACUGAGAGGACACCACAGCCCCCACCACUCCCUGGACGCUGGGUGCGGGUCUGGUGAAGACACAGCCAACCAGCCAUGGCGGCUCUUAGAGCCUGCGCUCAGGCCUCGUCUCCCAGUGGGCACCAGGGGAGGCACAGUCUGCAGAGGGGAUGUUUUCUCUUCUGCAAUCACAGCCCAACCAGGACUCAAGGGUCAGUACUUGGGAUCGAACCCAGGGUGUUCUGCCACUGAGCUACACCCCAGUCCUUUUUAAUUUUUAUUUCAAGACCAAGUCUUGCUAAGUUGCUGAGGCUGGCCUCAAUUUGUGACCCUCCUGCCUUGGCCUCCUGUGUUGCUGGGAUUGCAGGUGUGGCCACCACAGCCAGAAAAGUCAGUGCUUUUAAGAGCAGAGCUGAGAAGACCUUUCCGUGUUUCGGGGUCAUCCGGCUUUCAGUGACUACAGUCGCCAGACGCCGCGGACCAAGCUCGUGGGCUGUGGCUGUGGAACGCAUAGGGGAGUAAACUGAGUUCCGAGUCCCCUCCUCCCCCAACUGGAACAGUCAAUGUCUCAUAAAAACCAGAUCCAGCUGAGAAACUGCGCUCCACGUCCCUCUUUCGUGGGCCUGGCGAACAGUGCAGCACUCACUCCCCAGAGCCCCACUGAGUUCCAGCAUCCACCCAGGGAGCAAGGGCUCUAACCCUGGCUGUGUGGGGGGGACGUGCUCAGACUCCCUGGACAGGCAGCCGAGGGCGCCAGCCUCCGAGGGUGACCCCGCUGGCAGCGGCACGGCCCCCUGAGGGCCACCCCCUGGCUUGAGCACACUGGUGAGUCCGGCGAGGACAGCUCAGGGGCAGCACGCUCUCCGAGGGUCAGCAGCUCCUGCUGGGGACAGGCAUGGGGCACUCGUGGAAAGGGAGCGCUCUCCUGGCUCGGCCUCACAUACUGCGAGAUCACAAGGACCACAAACAGAGGACUUUCCACCAGAAGCUGCUCCCCUGGACGUAUCACGCUG